Long non-coding RNA from Octopus sinensis (East Asian common octopus), 172 nucleotides. RefSeq lists it as uncharacterized. NCBI's taxonomy places the organism in Eukaryota, Metazoa, Mollusca, Cephalopoda, Octopoda, Octopodidae. The record is from RefSeq and is a predicted model, not a curated record. The transcript has 3 exons.
UCUCUGGAGACUGUCAGAAUGUUGCAGACACCUCUGAUGAGAACCCAAUAAGGUUUGAAAAUCGAUUAAGGUUGUUAAUCAUUUUUUCAGUCAGCAGAGAUAUAGCUAAAAUUUGCUCUGUUUAUAAUCAUACCAUGUGUUACAUAUAUGUAUGUAUAUUGAAAAAAUUGGU